This 271-nucleotide ribosomal RNA is filed under the name uncultured bacterium. RNAcentral's name for it is "partial 16S ribosomal RNA". It matches the Rfam family "Bacterial small subunit ribosomal RNA", at positions 524 to 794 of the family's 1533-position model. The record is from RNAcentral.
UACGUAGGGUGCAAGCGUUGUCCGGAAUUAUUGGGCGUAAAGAGCUCGUAGGCGGUUUGUCACGUCGGAUGUGAAAACUCGGGGCUCAACCCCGAGCCUGCAUACGAUACGGGCAGACUUGAGUACGGCAGGGGAGACUGGAAUUCCUGGUGUAGCGGUGAAAUGCGCAGAUAUCAGGAGGAACACCGGUGGCGAAGGCGGGUCUCUGGGCCGAUACUGACGCUGAGGAGCGAAAGCGUGGGGAGCGAACAGGAUUAGAUACCCCAGUAGU